CUAAGAAUCUUCCGCAAUGGGGGAAACCCUGACGGAGCGACGCCGCGUGGGCGAAGAAGGCCGGAAGGUUGUAAAGUCCUUUUCCUGGGGGAGAAUAACGGCCGGAGGGAAUGCCGGUCAGAUGACGUGAACCAGGGAAUAAGCCCCGGCUAAUUACGUGCCAGCAGCCGCGGUAACACGUAAGGGGCGAGCGUUGUUCGGAUUUAUUGGGCGUAAAGGGCGUGUAGGCGGUAGUAAAAGUCUGGUGUGAAAUACCUCGGCUCAACCGAGGGGCCGCGCUGGAAACUGUGCUGCUAGAGUUUAGGAGGGGGAGCUGGAAUUCCUGGUGUAGGGGUGAAAUCUGUAGAGAUCAGGAAGAACACCGGAGGCGAAGGCGAGCUCCUGGCCAUAGACUGACGCUGAGGCGCGAAAGCGUGGGGAGCGAACAGG
RNAcentral lists this ribosomal RNA (429 nucleotides) under uncultured bacterium. Its description in RNAcentral is "bacterial SSU rRNA". It matches the Rfam family "Bacterial small subunit ribosomal RNA", at positions 355 to 776 of the family's 1533-position model. The record is from RNAcentral.